This 490-nucleotide ribosomal RNA is filed under the name uncultured bacterium. RNAcentral describes it as "partial 16S ribosomal RNA". It matches the Rfam family "Bacterial small subunit ribosomal RNA", at positions 30 to 507 of the family's 1533-position model. The record is from RNAcentral.
AUUGAACGCUGGCGGCAGGCCUAACACAUGCAAGUCGAACGGUAACAGGAAGAAGCUUGCUUCUUUGCUGACGAGUGGCGGACGGGUGAGUAAUGUCUGGGAAACUGCCUGAUGGAGGGGGAUAACUACUGGAAACGGUAGCUAAUACCGCAUAACGUCGCAAGACCAAAGAGGGGGACCUUCGGGCCUCUUGCCAUCGGAUGUGCCCAGAUGGGAUUAGCUAGUAGGUGGGGUAACGGCUCACCUAGGCGACGAUCCCUAGCUGGUCUGAGAGGGUGACCAGCCACACUGGCACUGAGACACGGUACAGACUCCUACGGGGGGCAGCGGUGGGGAAUAUUGCGCGAUGGACGCAAGCCGGAUGCAGCCAUGCGGCGUGUAUGAAGAAGGCCUUCGGGUUGUAAAGUACUUUAAGCGGGGAGGAAGGGAGUAAAGUUAAUACCUUUGCUCAUUGACGUUACCCGCAGAAGAAGCACCGGCUAACUCCGUG